GAUGAACGCUAGCGGCAGGCCUAACACACGCAAGUCGAGGGGCAGCACAGAAACAGCAAUGUUUUGGUGGCGACCGGCGGACGGGUGCGUAACGCGUAUGCAACCUACCUUUAACAGGGGGAUAACGGAGAGAAAUUUCCACUAAUACCCCAUAACAUCGAUCAAGGCAUCUUGAUUGGUUGAAAACUCCGGUGGUUAAAGAUGGGCAUGCGUUGCAUUAGGUAGUUGGUGAGGUAAUGGCUCACCAAGCCUACGAUACAUAGGGGGACUGAGAGGUUAGCCCCCCACACUGGUACUGAGACACGGACCAGACUCCUACGGGAGGCAGCAGUGAGGAAUAUUGGUCAAUGGGGGCAACCCUGAACCAGCCAUGCCGCGUGCAGGAAGACGGCUCUAUGAGUUGUAAACUGCUUUUAAACAGGGAUAAAGCACAGUAUGUAUACUGUGUUGAAGGUACUGUAAGAAUAAGGAUCGGCUAACUCCGUGCCAGCAGCCGCGGUAA
This 502-nucleotide ribosomal RNA is filed under the name uncultured bacterium. Its description in RNAcentral is "partial 16S ribosomal RNA". It matches the Rfam family "Bacterial small subunit ribosomal RNA", at positions 28 to 523 of the family's 1533-position model. The record is from RNAcentral.